GUUGACGAAGCUGCAUUGUGUAGCCAGCCGGUUUAUCUUUUUAUGUUGUAUAGUUUGUUAGUUUACCGUAAAUAUGUCUUGAUUUGUACUCAAGAGUGGAGCAAGGCCCUAUGGAACAGAGAUUGACGCAUCGUGAGCGAAGAACAGACGCGAUGGAUGGUUAGGCUGCUUGACUCUCGGCUGUACGACUCUCGGCAUGUUAGGACUGGCAAAGUUCCGAAUUUGUCGCGGUGUGGUGUACGCUUCUGUGCUCGUCAAGUGCCGUCAGAGCGCGGGGAUGUUUGAACGGAAUGUGUCCCUUCGUCUACAAAACUCUGCACGCUGCGGCAUCGAAGUCCUGUGUACGGGUGCACGUAUGCGCUUGGAUACGGGAUAGCCUGCCCUCAACGGAUGUUCAACAGUGUACGCACGCUGCGCGUACGCGUACGUAUGAGACUAGUUGCUGGUGUCCUGCUGGAGCUGAGAAGAGAUCUGCUGCCUGCCAUGAGGCCAUGUCUCUCAAGUUACCGCAAUAUUGUUGCCUUCAAACCUGUCGAGACAAGGUUUCUUUACAUGGCCAUGGCGCUCAAGGAAGAAACCGAGACUGUAGACUGCCAACGUUCAUUCCUGUUCCGGCAAAGACGGGCCAGCAGUAACCAGCAGGAUUUUACAAAGUGAACUCAUCACAGCUUGAGCCACUCCAUGCCACAAGCAGUUGCUCCUCGAGCCACCGUGCAAAGGUUCCUUGGGGCACAAGUCCAACUCAGCGCCACAACCUUUCUUCUGCAGUUUUUCUACCUACUUAGCUAACCAGCAAGUUUAUCCUUGCAAGGCAUGUGCGAACAGCUUUCACCAGGAAACAGUGCAAGACGAGUGGUCGAAGAAAAUAAAAUUGCUUCUGUGAUCUAAAGUACUUGAUGAAUAAAAUUUUGC
This is a long non-coding RNA of Dermacentor silvarum, 912 nucleotides long. RefSeq lists it as uncharacterized. The record is from RefSeq and is a predicted model, not a curated record. NCBI's taxonomy places the organism in Eukaryota, Metazoa, Arthropoda, Arachnida, Ixodida, Ixodidae. The transcript has 4 exons.